Molecule: ribosomal RNA, 464 nt
Filed under: uncultured bacterium
Lineage: Bacteria
Description: partial 16S ribosomal RNA
Rfam family: Bacterial small subunit ribosomal RNA
Source: RNAcentral
CUACGGGGGGCAGCAGUGGGGAAUAUUGCACAAUGGGCGCAAGCCUGAUGCAGCCAUGCCGCGUGUAUGAAGAAGGCCUUCGGGUUGUAAAGUACUUUCAGCGGGGAGGAAGGGAGUAAAGUUAAUACCUUUGCUCAUUGACGUUACCCGCAGAAGAAGCACCGGCUAACUCCGUGCCAGCAGCCGCGGUAAUACGGAGGGUGCAAGCGUUAAUCGGAAUUACUGGGCGUAAAGCGCACGCAGGCGGUUUGUUAAGUCAGAUGUGAAAUCCCCGGGCUCAACCUGGGAACUGCAUCUGAUACUGGCAAGCUUGAGCCUCGUAGAGGGGGGUAGAAUUCCAGGUGUAGCGGUGAAAUGCGUAGAGAUCUGGAGGAAUACCGGUGGCGAAGGCGGCCCCCUGGACGAAGACUGACGCUCAGGUGCGAAAGCGUGGGGAGCAAACAGGAUUAGAUACCCUCGUAGUC